AGCCAAAUUCUAGCCCAACAUACAUUGACCCAGAAUAACAAAGCCACUCCCAAUCACUUAACUAAACCAUUUACUAGUCCUAGUAUAGGUGAUAGAAAAGACCACAUGGAGCGAUAGAGACCACGUACCGUAAGGGAAAGAUGAAAUAGCAAUGAACAAAGACAAGCUAAAAACAGCAAAGAUCAACCCUUGUACCUUUUGCAUCAUGGUCUAGCAAGAAAAACCAAGCAAAAUGAAUUGAAGCUUGCCUCCCCGAAACCUAAGCGAGCUACUUACGAGCAGCUACAUUGAGCGAACCCGUCUCUGUUGCAAAAGAGUGGGAUGACUUGUCAGUAGAGGUGAAAAGCCAACCGAGCUGGGUGAUAGCUGGUUGCCUGUGAAACGAAUUUAAGUUCACUCUUAAUUCUUCUCCAAGGAAAUUCCAAAACCCUAAUGAAGCGAAUUAAGGGCUAUUUAAAGGAGGUACAGCUCCUUUAAAAAAGAGUACACUCUCCACGAGCGGAUAAGCAUCAAACCCAAAAAGAUUAUAGUGGGCCCUCAAGCAGCCAUCAAUAAAGAGUGCGUUAAAGCUCCAUAUACUAAAAAUCAAAUAACCUUGCGACUCCCUCCUCACUAACAGGCUAACCUAUAUUAAAAUAGGAGAAUUAAUGCUAGAAUGAGUAACUAGGGUAUACCCUCUACAACGCAAGCUUACAUCUGCACAUUAUUAACAAACACCAAAUAUACAACCAAUCCAACAAGCAAAGUAUAAAGCAAUUUGUUAGCCCGACAGAGGAGCGUCUACCAAGAAAGAUUAAAACCUGUAAAAGGAACUAGGCAAGCACGUCAAGGCCCGACUGUUUACCAAAAACAUAGCCUUCAGCAAACCCCAAACAAGUAUUGAAGGUGAUGCCUGCCCGGUGACUCUGUUCAACGGCCGCGGUAUCCUAACCGUGCAAAGGUAGCGCAAUCAAUUGUCCCAUAAAUCGAGACCUGUAUGAAUGGCUAAACGAGGUCUUAACUGUCUCUUACAGGCAAUCAGUGAAAUUGAUCUCCCUGUGCAAAAGCAGGGAUAAAACCAUAAGACGAGAAGACCCUGUGGAACUUCAGAAUCAGCAACCACGCCGACAUACUUUCCCCCCCAACACCAGGGGUCACUUACCCGUCAAACCGCUGGUCUGCAUUCUUUGGUUGGGGCGACCUUGGAGAAAAACGAAUCCUCCAAAAACAGGACCAAACCUCUCGACUAAGAGCAACCCCUCAACGUGCUAAUAGCAACCAGAUCCAAUAUAAUUGAUCAAUGGACCAAGCUACCCCAGGGAUAACAGCGCAAUCUCCUUCGAGAGUCCGUAUCGACGAGGAGGUUUACGACCUCGAUGUUGGAUCAGGACAUCCUAGCGGUGCAGCAGCUGCUAANNNNNNNNNNNNNNNNNNNNNNNNNNNNNNNNNNNNNNNNNNNNNNNNNNNNNNNNNNNNNGGUCGGUUUCUAUCUAUGAUGAACUCUUCCCAGUACGAAAGGAURGGAAAAGUGAGGCCAAUACCACAAGCRAGCCUUCGCCUUAAGUAAUGAAUGCAACUAAAUACAAAAGGCUAUCRCACCWCAACCACGUCCUAGAAAAGGACCCA
RNAcentral lists this ribosomal RNA (1605 nucleotides) under Anthornis melanura. Its description in RNAcentral is "16S ribosomal RNA". It matches the Rfam family "Bacterial large subunit ribosomal RNA". The record is from RNAcentral. Lineage: Eukaryota; Metazoa; Chordata; Aves; Passeriformes; Meliphagidae.